GCUCCGGUGGCCUAGUGGUUAGAGCGUCCGCCUCGGAUGCAGGAGGUUGCAGGUUCGAACCCCAGCUGAGUCA
Non-coding RNA from Potamilus streckersoni, 73 nucleotides. Lineage: Eukaryota; Metazoa; Mollusca; Bivalvia; Unionida; Unionidae. The record is from the annotation of a GenBank genome assembly.